RNAcentral lists this ribosomal RNA (305 nucleotides) under uncultured bacterium. RNAcentral's name for it is "bacterial SSU rRNA". It matches the Rfam family "Bacterial small subunit ribosomal RNA", at positions 338 to 635 of the family's 1533-position model. The record is from RNAcentral.
CCUACGGGAGGCAGCAGUAGGGAAUCUUCCACAAUGGGCGAAAGCCUGAUGGAGCAACGCCGCGUGGGUGAAGAAGGUCUUCGGAUCGUAAAACCCUGUUGUUAGAGAAGAAAGUGCGUGAGAGUAACUGUUCACGUUUCGACGGUAUCUAACCAGAAAGCCACGGCUAAUUCCGUGCCAGCAGCCGCGGUAAUACGGAAGGUCCGGGCGUUAUCCGGAUUUAUUGGGUUUAAAGGGAGCGUAGGCCGGCUUUUAAGUCAGCUGUGAAAGUCCGCGGCUCAACCGUGGAAUUGCAGUUGAAACUG